CUGCUGAUGAUCAGGAGUAGUUAGGAGGUUCCCAGGCAGGAGGCCUCGCCUCGUUCGAUCGUUGUAUCUUUUGUUCUAGCCUUCUCUAAGGUACCCCAUGUUGUUUUAUGUCUGUACUCAGAUAUCUGUUGCUUCCGCUGACUCGUGUGUUUAUCGAGCUUUCGUAUUCUAUCCCUCGAGGCCCCUGGCUUGUAAUAUGAAGCUGAUGUUAUUUUAUUUGUGUCUAAA
Molecule: long non-coding RNA, 228 nt
Filed under: Hordeum vulgare
Lineage: Eukaryota; Viridiplantae; Streptophyta; Magnoliopsida; Poales; Poaceae
Description: long non-coding RNA (HVUL_LNC009089)
Source: RNAcentral